This 378-nucleotide ribosomal RNA is filed under the name uncultured cyanobacterium. RNAcentral describes it as "bacterial SSU rRNA". It matches the Rfam family "Bacterial small subunit ribosomal RNA", at positions 376 to 770 of the family's 1533-position model. Lineage: Bacteria; Bacillati; Cyanobacteriota. The record is from RNAcentral.
CGAAAGCCUGACGGAGCAAUACCGCGUGCGGGAGGAAGGCCCUUGGGUCGUAAACCGCUUUUCUUAGGGAAGAAACCUGACGGUACCUAAGGAAUAAGCCUCGGCUAACUCCGUGCCAGCAGCCGCGGUAAUACGGAGGAGGCAAGCGUUAUCCGGAAUUAUUGGGCGUAAAGAGUCCGUAGGUGGUUCAUCAAGUCUGCUGUUAAAGCGUGCAGCUCAACUGCAUAUAGGCAGUGGAAACUGUUGAACUAGAGUAUGGUAGGGGUAGGGGGAAUUCCCAGUGUAGCGGUGAAAUGCGUAGAGAUUGGGAAGAACACCGGUGGCGAAAGCGCCCUACUGGGCCAUAACUGACACUGAGGGACGAAAGCUAGGGUAGCG